CGGCGUGCUGGAGCCGUUCAGUCGCCGCAGCCGCGGAGUGAGGGAGCGAGAGUCUUCCUUAGCUUCCCCGCCAUGGGCGUCGCUUCGUAGCCGGGCUGCUCCGGGAAAGGCCUCGUACAGGAAAACUAGACAAUCCACCAGCCCAGGAGGGGACAAGCAGGCUUAAUCCCCCUCCUCGUCAUCUCUGGCUCCAGCCCCACCCUGGCCCUUCCUGGCAUUCUUCCUCUUCACGUGGCUGGGGUGGCCACCCCAAUAGGGAGGCAGAGGGAGAAGUCCAUGUGCUUCUGGGAAUCCAGGCGGACAGUGAAGAACAGGAUAUUUACCACCUGCUCACGGAUAUGAUACUGUUGGAUCAGCACACGAGCGUGGCGGAUGGACUUAAGCCA
RNAcentral lists this non-coding RNA (386 nucleotides) under Pongo abelii (Sumatran orangutan). Lineage: Eukaryota; Metazoa; Chordata; Mammalia; Primates; Hominidae. The record is from RNAcentral.